CUUCACGCCGAUGAUCACCGCUUGCGGCAGCCGCUUGUUGCCUUCUCCCCCCGGCUGGGUUUGCAGUAAGGGAUCCCGGGGCGUGCCGGCCGUCUCUUCGCCCUGAGCCACGGGAAUCGGGGCCGGAUCCCGGGACCAGCUUCAGGCGGAGCUUUCUGGAUUUCGGUGGAAGGAUGGAAAGACUCAACAAGAGGUCGGUUCCAGGAAGCCAGCAGAAGCUGCCCUGCUGUUCCAGAGAGGAGUACGGUGGAAAGAGGUCCUCACCUGGCCGCGAACGGCUGGACAGACUGGCGGAAAGUCCUUCGCAAGCGUUCGUCUGUCACCUUCCCGGUGGGAGUCUCUCUCUCUCUCUCUCUCUCUCUCUCUCUUCCCGGCUGCUCUGGCGGCUGCCACACGUGGAGCUCUCGAUUGUAGCUCAAACUUCUCCGAAUGGCAAACACUCCCCCCCCCGCCAAUCUCCGAACCCCGCCGGGCUGUUUAGCGACGUGCCCAGAAACCAAUGAAAGCUUGAGAAAAAGCGAGAAGGGCGGAUCUGCCUUUCUGAGGGGAUUCGGAAUGGAGGCGGGGACAGAACUAAUAAGGACACGCCCCUUCGUCAGGUUCCGGAGUUUCUCCUUUUGCGGUUCAGAACGAAGGGAGGUUUCGUUACGGUUGAAUGUCGCUUCUGUGGAGAUCUCUGGAUCUUCUUGUGCAGUCUCUCUCUCUCUCUCUCUCUCUCUCUCUCUCUCUCACACACACACACACACACACACACACACACACACACACUCUUCCCAGAGAUGGGAAGGGGGUGUGGGUGACGGCUUGGGAUAAAGCUGGCUCGGAGUCUGAUGCUCAAACUGUUUAGAGAAGGUGGAGGGGAAGCAAAGCCUCUGGGUGGGGGGAGCUGCCUAAUAGACUCGUGUGCGUGGAACCCUCUUUGAGGUUGACUAAAUGCAGCGAUGAGAAAAGAGUUUUUACUUCUGGUGGUUGCUGAGAUGAGAAUUCUUCGCUCCCCAGCUUGCCAGACAGGAAUGCAAUCUUGUUAAAAUUACCCUGAUCCACACACAUCUAAUAAAGGUCCUCCUUUAAUGUUGGCCACUUGUGGGGACAUACCGAUAGUCAAGAGAAAUUAAAGUCUACUGCCUUGAAAUGAAGAAAAAUAAAACCAGUGAGAAAUGAACACAGCCAAGAGGAAUAUUUAAACGAAGUGUACAUCCUAGUUCCACAGCAAAGUAACCACAAAUAUUUAGAAUCAAAGCCUUGCCCACAAUCUCUAGAAUGAAUCUUUUUUUU
Non-coding RNA from Pantherophis guttatus, 1275 nucleotides. Lineage: Eukaryota; Metazoa; Chordata; Lepidosauria; Squamata; Colubridae. The record is from RefSeq and is a predicted model, not a curated record.